AAGAGAACACCAAACCCCAAUGAGGAGGAUUAGAGAAGAGAUUUUUGCUAUUCGAUAGACGCAAAUAUUUAAGGCCAACCAGAUGUCCAAUUGAUGAAGGUAUUUCCUCGAUCGCACUACCACUUAAGGCAAUCGACUCCAAAUUCUUCUUCUGCUCCCCAAAUUCUAGAAUCUUUUUCAGAUUUUUGCAAUUAUCUAGAUGCAACUUCUGAAGGCCAACCAGAUGUCCAAAGGAUAAAGGUACUUCCUCGAUCGCACUACCAAUUAAGUCAAUGAACGCCAAAUUCUUCAUCUGCUCCCCAAAUUCUGGAAUCUUUUUCAGAUUUUUGCAAUUAUUUAGAUACAACUCCUUAAGGCCAACCAGAUGUCCAAUUGAUGAAGGUAUUUCCUCGAUCGCACUACCACUUAAGACAAUCGACUCCAAAUUCUUCAUCUGCUCCCCAAAUUCUGGAAUCUUUUCCAGAUUUUUGCAAUUAUCUAGAUGCAACUCAUAAAGGCUAACCAGAUGUCCAAUUGAUGAAGGUAUUUCCUCAAUCGCACUACCACUUAAGGCAAUCAACUCCAAAUUCUUCAUCUGCUCCCCAAAUUCUGGAAUCUUUUUCAGAUUUUUGCAAUUAUCUAGAUGCAACACCUUAAGGCCAACCAGAUGUCCAAUUGAUGAAGGUAUUUCCUCGAUCGCACUACCACUUAAGACAAUCAACUCCAAAUUCUUCAUCUGCUCCCCAAAUUCUGGAAUCUUUUUCAGAUUUUUGCAGUUAUCUAGAUGCAACACCUUAAGGCCAACCAGAUGUCCAAUUGAUUAAGGUAUUUCCUCGAUCGCACUACCAUUGAAGCUAAUCGACUCCAAAUUCUUCAUCUGCUCCCCAAAUUUUGGAAUCUUUUUCAGAUUUUUGCAAUUACGUAGAUGCAACACCUUAAGGCCAACCAGAUGUCCAAUUGAUGAAG
This 945-nucleotide long non-coding RNA is filed under the name Malus domestica (apple). RNAcentral describes it as "long non-coding RNA (MDOM_LNC009581)". Lineage: Eukaryota; Viridiplantae; Streptophyta; Magnoliopsida; Rosales; Rosaceae. The record is from RNAcentral.